RNAcentral lists this ribosomal RNA (468 nucleotides) under uncultured bacterium. RNAcentral describes it as "partial 16S ribosomal RNA". It matches the Rfam family "Bacterial small subunit ribosomal RNA", at positions 28 to 507 of the family's 1533-position model. The record is from RNAcentral.
GACGAACGCUGGCGGCGUGCUUAACACAUGCAAGUCGAACGGAAAGGCCCUGCUUUUGUGGGGUGCUCGAGUGGCGAACGGGUGAGUAACACGUGAGUAACCUGCCCUUGACUUUGGGAUAACUUCAGGAAACUGGGGCUAAUACCGGAUAGGAGCUCCUGCUGCAUGGUGGGGGUUGGAAAGUUUCGGCGGUUGGGGAUGGACUCGCGGCUUAUCAGCUUGUUGGUGGGGUAGUGGCUUACCAAGGCUUUGACGGGUAGCCGGCCUGAGAGGGUGACCGGCCACAUUGGGACUGAGAUGCGGCCCAGACUCCUACGGGAGGCAGCAGUGGGGAAUAGUGCACAAUGGGCGGGAGCCUGAUGCAGCAACGCCGCGUGCGGGAAGACGGCCUUCGGGUUGUAAACCGCUUUCGCCUGUGACGAAGCGUGAGUGACGGUAAUGGGUAAAGAAGCACCGGCUAACUACGUG